RNAcentral lists this ribosomal RNA (1489 nucleotides) under metagenome. Its description in RNAcentral is "bacterial SSU rRNA". It matches the Rfam family "Bacterial small subunit ribosomal RNA". The record is from RNAcentral.
AGAGUUUGAUCAUGGCUCAGGAUGAACGCUAGCGACAGGCUUAACACAUGCAAGUCGAGGGGCAGCAUGAUUUGUAGCAAUACAGAUUGAUGGCGACCGGCGCACGGGUGAGUAACGCGUAUGCAACUUACCUAUCAGAGGGGGAUAGCCCGGCGAAAGUCGGAUUAAUACCCCAUAAAACAGGGGUCCCGCAUGGGAAUAUUUGUUAAAGAUUCAUCGCUGAUAGAUAGGCAUGCGUUCCAUUAGGCAGUUGGCGGGGUAACGGCCCACCAAACCGACGAUGGAUAGGGGUUCUGAGAGGAAGGUCCCCCACAUUGGUACUGAGACACGGACCAAACUCCUACGGGAGGCAGCAGUGAGGAAUAUUGGUCAAUGGCCGAGAGGCUGAACCAGCCAAGUCGCGUGAAGGAAGAAGGAUCUAUGGUUUGUAAACUUCUUUUAUAGGGGAAUAAAGUGGAGGACGUGUCCUUUUUUGUAUGUACCCUAUGAAUAAGCAUCGGCUGACUCCGUGCCAGCAGCCGCGGUAAUACGGAGGAUGCGAGCGUUAUCCGGAUUUAUUGGGUUUAAAGGGUGCGUAGGUGGUGAUUUAAGUCAGCGGUGAAAGUUUGUGGCUCAACCAUAAAAUUGCCGUUGAAACUGGGUUACUUGAGUGUGUUUGAGGUAGGCGGAAUGCGUGGUGUAGCGGUGAAAUGCAUAGAUAUCACGCAGAACUCCGAUUGCGAAGGCAGCUUACUAAACCAUAACUGACACUGAAGCACGAAAGCGUGGGGAUCAAACAGGAUUAGAUACCCUGGUAGUCCACGCAGUAAGCGAUGAUUACUAGGAGUUUGCGAUACAAUGUAAGCUCUACAGCGAAAGCGUUAAGUAAUCCACCUGGGGAGUACGCCGGCAACGGUGAAACUCAAAGGAAUUGACGGGGGCCCGCACAAGCGGAGGAACAUGUGGUUUAAUUCGAUGAUACGCGAGGAACCUUACCCGGGUUUGAACGUAGUCUGACCGGAGUGGAAACACUCUUUCUAGCAAUAGCAGAUUACGAGGUGCUGCAUGGUUGUCGUCAGCUCGUGCCGUGAGGUGUCGGCUUAAGUGCCAUAACGAGCGCAACCCUUAUCACUAGUUACUAACAGGUGAAGCUGAGGACUCUGGUGAGACUGCCAGCGUAAGCUGUGAGGAAGGUGGGGAUGACGUCAAAUCAGCACGGCCCUUACAUCCGGGGCGACACACGUGUUACAAUGGCAUGGACAAAGGGCAGCUACCUGGUGACAGGAUGCUAAUCUCCAAACCAUGUCUCAGUUCGGAUCGGAGUCUGCAACUCGACUCUGUGAAGCUGGAUUCGCUAGUAAUCGCGCAUCAGCCAUGGCGCGGUGAAUACGUUCCCGGGCCUUGUACACACCGCCCGUCAAGCCAUGGGAGCCGGGGGUACCUGAAGUCCGUAACCGCAAGGAUCGGCCUAGGGUAAAACUGGUGACCGGGGCUAAGUCGUAACAAGGUA